Molecule: long non-coding RNA, 1027 nt
Filed under: Marmota monax (woodchuck)
Lineage: Eukaryota; Metazoa; Chordata; Mammalia; Rodentia; Sciuridae
Source: RNAcentral
CUGAGCAAACUUGACCACUCCAAAUACCAAACCCCGUUCCUUUGCCAAGUCCACGGGCAGGGUUCCGGGAGGCCUGAGCUGCAAUGUGCAGAUGAAUACUUCGUUCUGCGGGGUUUGGUGCCAAAGCCUACAGAAUACUUAGGUUCUGCUGGGGAAGUCUUGGAAGAACAGAACUUCUGUUUUUGAUAUCUCUGAGGACUUGAAGCAGCUCUUCCAGGACUUACUGGCUUUCAUGAGGUCGCUCCUGCUUUAAAAGUCUCUUGGUGGCUGACUUAUAUUAAAAAGAGGAAAAGAGCCUGUUUUGACUCCUCUGAGUUUUCUCUACUCUACAGAAGUUAUGCAAGUUAAUAAAAGAAAGAACAGCAGUGAGAAGGGCAUAGACAUGGGACUGUGGGUGUUUUUCUUCACAUUCUGUGGACAUGAGUCCUCUGGUUUGUAAAAUGAGAAGGGCAAGAUCUCCACGCCUCCUCUGGGAAAAGCAGGACACUGACCUGUAAGUCCAUGCUGAGCGCCGAGCACUGGAAGCUGUCUUUCACCCCCAUAAUGGCCCCCAGUGAAGACUUUUCCGUGGUCUUCUUGAGCAGACCAAAGAACUAAGCAAUUACAUACUGUGCUCAGUCACAAAGUCCACACAAGGCGAGGCGGGAAUUUGUACCCAGAUGCAUCUGACUCCAGAUGUAUGCAUCUUUCCCAGUCCUCCUAGGCAGCUGUAAGCACUAGUGCUUGUCAAUGAACCAGAAUUCACCAGAAUGGAAUUCAUGAGGUGCAGACUGAUAAAAAGAAGGGAGAAAGUUAAGUGCAUUCAAGACUGGCCUGGACAUUUAGAAUAAAUUGUCUUUGACAUGGACAAAUGAGAGCUAGAGUCAGAAGAGAAAUAGCCAACAGGGUAUCGUUAAGUUCCUCUUGGGUGGACCUUCCCUGUCUUAUAGCAUCUUACACUACAACAGCCUUGCUUGCUACCUGCCUACACCUAAUUACAUAGAAGUUGCUGUGAUACUUACCUAUGAUGUAAUAAUGUCAAUAAAAC